AUGAACGCUGGCGGCGUGCUUAACACAUGCCAGUCGAACGGUGAACACGGAGCUUGCUCUGUGGGAUCAGUGGCGAACGGGUGAGUAACACGUGAGCAACCUGCCCCUGACUCUGGGAUAAGCGCUGGAAACGGCGUCUAAUACUGGAUAUGUGACGUGACCGCAUGGUCUGCGUUUGGAAAGAUUUUUCGGUUGGGGAUGGGCUCGCGGCCUAUCAGCUUGUUGGUGAGGUAAUGGCUCACCAAGGCGUCGACGGGUAGCCGGCCUGAGAGGGUGACCGGCCACACUGGGACUGAGACACGGCCCAGACUCCUACGGGAGGCAGCAGUGGGGAAUAUUGCACAAUGGGCGCAAGCCUGAUGCAGCAACGCCGCGUGAGGGAUGACGGCCUUCGGGUUGUAAACCUCUUUUAGCAGGGAAGAAGCGAAAGUGACGGUACCUGCAGAAAAAGCGCCGGCUAACUACGUG
Molecule: ribosomal RNA, 468 nt
Filed under: uncultured bacterium
Lineage: Bacteria
Description: partial 16S ribosomal RNA
Rfam family: Bacterial small subunit ribosomal RNA
Source: RNAcentral